AAGCGGGAAAAGCUCAAAUUUAAAAUCUGACCAGUCUUGGCUGUCCGAAUGUAAUCUAGAGAAGCGUUAUCCGCGUUGGACCGUGUACAAGUCUCUGGAAUGGGGCGUCAUAGAGGGUGAGAAUCCCGUCUUUGACACGGACUGCCCAGGGCUUUUGUGAUGCGCUCUCAAAGAGUCGAGUUGUUUGGGAAUGCAGCUCAAAAUGGGUGGUAAAUUCCAUCUAAAGCUAAAUAUUGGCGAGAGACCGAUAGCGAACAAGUACCGUGAGGGAAAGAUGAAAAGAACUUUGGAAAGAGAGUUAAACAGUACGUGAAAUUGCUGAAAGGGAAACGCUUGAAGUCAGUCGCGUUGUCCAGGGAUCAACCUUGCUGUUGCUUGGUGUACUUCCUGGCUGACGGGUCAGCAUCAGUUUUGAUCAUUGGAAAAAGAUCAUGGGAAUGUGGCAUCUUCGGAUGUGUUAUAGCCUUUGGUUGCAUACAAUGGUUGGGAUUGAGGAACUCAGCACGCCGCAAGGCCGGGUGUCUCACCACGUACGUGCUUAGGAUGCUGGCAUAAUGGCUUUAAUCGACCCGUCUUGAAACACGGACCAAGGAGUCUAACAUGCCUGCGAGUGUUUGGGUGGAAAACCCGAGCGCGUAAUGAAAGUGAAAGGUUGAGAUCCCUGUCGUGGGGAGCAUCGACGCCCGGACCAGACCUUUUGUGACGGUUCCGCGGUAGAGCAUGUAUGUUGGGACCCGAAAGAUGGUGAACUAUGCCUGAAUAGGGUGAAGCCAGAGGAAACUCUGGUGGAGGCUCGUAGCGAUUCUGACGUGCAAAUCGAUCGUCAAAUUUGGGUAUAGGGGCGAAAGACUAAUCGAAC
This 859-nucleotide ribosomal RNA is filed under the name Cortinarius corrugatus. RNAcentral describes it as "eukaryotic LSU rRNA". It matches the Rfam family "Eukaryotic large subunit ribosomal RNA", at positions 96 to 940 of the family's 3401-position model. The record is from RNAcentral. Lineage: Eukaryota; Fungi; Basidiomycota; Agaricomycetes; Agaricales; Cortinariaceae.